CCGCACGGGUGAGUAACACGUAUCCAACCUGCCGUCUACUCUUGGACAGCCUUCUGAAAGGAAGAUUAAUACAAGAUGGCAUCAUGAGUCCGCAUGUUCACAUGAUUAAAGGUAUUCCGGUAGACGAUGGGGAUGCUUCCAUUAGAUAGUAGGCGGGGUAACGGCCCACCUAGUCUUCGAUGGAUAGGGGUUCUGAGAGGAAGGUCCCCCACAUUGGAACUGAGACACGGUCCAA
This 235-nucleotide ribosomal RNA is filed under the name uncultured bacterium. RNAcentral describes it as "partial 16S ribosomal RNA". It matches the Rfam family "Bacterial small subunit ribosomal RNA", at positions 98 to 334 of the family's 1533-position model. The record is from RNAcentral.